UGUGUUUGUAUUUACAUAUUUGCGUGGAACCCGUACUCGUGUGUGAAAUGUUCAGAGGAAAACUAAAGGCAGUGAUAUGUCUUCGGUACCGGUGUGUGUGAUCGUCUGCCGGUUCUAUCCUCAGUCGCUGUCACAUUC
Small nucleolar RNA from Eleginops maclovinus (Patagonian blennie), 138 nucleotides. RefSeq annotates it as small nucleolar RNA SNORA57. NCBI's taxonomy places the organism in Eukaryota, Metazoa, Chordata, Actinopteri, Perciformes, Eleginopidae. The transcript has a single exon. The record is from RefSeq and is a predicted model, not a curated record.